Molecule: ribosomal RNA, 344 nt
Filed under: uncultured bacterium
Lineage: Bacteria
Description: bacterial SSU rRNA
Rfam family: Bacterial small subunit ribosomal RNA
Source: RNAcentral
UGAGUAACAUGUAGGUAUCUACCCUUUGGCCUGGAAUAACACGAGGAAACUUGUGCUAAUACCGGAUAAGUCUUUACGGAGAAAGCUUUAUGCACCAUUGGAUGAGCCUGCACUUGAUUAGUUUGUUGGUGGGGUAAUGGCCUACCAAGACUGUGAUCAAUAGCUGAUUUGAGAGGAUGAUCAGCCACAUUGGGACUGAGACACGGCCCAAACUCCUACGGGAGGCAGCAGUGGGGAAUCUUGCACAAUGGAGGAAACUCUGAUGCAGCGAUGCCGCGUGAGUGAAGAAGGCCUUUGGGUUGUAAAAGCUCUUUCGUCGGGGAAGAAAAUGACUGUACCCGAAU